This 464-nucleotide ribosomal RNA is filed under the name uncultured bacterium. RNAcentral's name for it is "partial 16S ribosomal RNA". It matches the Rfam family "Bacterial small subunit ribosomal RNA", at positions 29 to 507 of the family's 1533-position model. The record is from RNAcentral.
ACGAACGCUGGCGGCGUGCUUAACACAUGCAAGUCGAACGGAAAGGCCCCUUCGGGGGUACUCGAGUGGCGAACAGGUGAGUAACACGUGAGUAACCUGCCCUUGACUUCGGGAUAACUUCAGGAAACUGGGGCUAAUACCGGAUAGGAAUCCUUGCUGCAUGGUGGGGGUUGGAAAGCUUCGGCGGUUUUGGAUGGACUCGCGGCUUAUCAGCUUGUUGGUGGGGUAGUGGCUUACCAAGGCUUUGACGGGUAGCCGGCCUGAGAGGGCGACCGGCCACAUUGGGACUGAGAUACGGCCCAGACUCCUACGGGAGGCGGCAGUGGGGAAUAUUGCACAAUGGGCGGAAGCCUGAUGCAGCAACGCCGCGUGCGGGAUGACGGCCUUCGGGUUGUAAACCGCUUUCAGCAGGGGCGAAGCUUGUGGUGACGGUACCUGCAGAAGAAGCACCGGCUAACUACGUG